Molecule: ribosomal RNA, 1504 nt
Filed under: Helicobacter pylori
Lineage: Bacteria; Pseudomonadati; Campylobacterota; Epsilonproteobacteria; Campylobacterales; Helicobacteraceae
Description: bacterial SSU rRNA
Rfam family: Bacterial small subunit ribosomal RNA
Source: RNAcentral
UUUAUGGAGAGUUUGAUCCUGGCUCAGAGUGAACGCUGGCGGCGUGCCUAAUACAUGCAAGUCGAACGAUGAAGCUUCUAGCUUGCUAGAAUGCUGAUUAGUGGCGCACGGGUGAGUAACGCAUAGGUUAUGUGCCUCUUAGUUUGGGAUAGCCAUUGGAAACGAUGAUUAAUACCAGAUACUCCCUAUGGGGGAAAGAUUUAUCGCUAAGAGAUCAGCCUAUGUCCUAUCAGCUUGUUGGUAAGGUAAUGGCUUACCAAGGCUAUGACGGGUAUCCGGCCUGAGAGGGUGAACGGACACACUGGAACUGAGACACGGUCCAGACUCCUACGGGAGGCAGCAGUAGGGAAUAUUGCUCAAUGGGGGAAACCCUGAAGCAGCAACGCCGCGUGGAGGAUGAAGGUUUUAGGAUUGUAAACUCCUUUUGUUAGAGAAGAUAAUGACGGUAUCUAACGAAUAAGCACCGGCUAACUCCGUGCCAGCAGCCGCGGUAAUACGGAGGGUGCAAGCGUUACUCGGAAUCACUGGGCGUAAAGAGCGCGUAGGCGGGAUAGUCAGUCAGGUGUGAAAUCCUAUGGCUUAACCAUAGAACUGCAUUUGAAACUACUAUUCUAGAGUGUGGGAGAGGUAGGUGGAAUUCUUGGUGUAGGGGUAAAAUCCGUAGAGAUCAAGAGGAAUACUCAUUGCGAAGGCGACCUGCUGGAACAUUACUGACGCUGAUUGCGCGAAAGCGUGGGGAGCAAACAGGAUUAGAUACCCUGGUAGUCCACGCCCUAAACGAUGGAUGCUAGUUGUUGGAGGGCUUAGUCUCUCCAGUAAUGCAGCUAACGCAUUAAGCAUCCCGCCUGGGGAGUACGGUCGCAAGAUUAAAACUCAAAGGAAUAGACGGGGACCCGCACAAGCGGUGGAGCAUGUGGUUUAAUUCGAAGAUACACGAAGAACCUUACCUAGGCUUGACAUUGAGAGAAUCCGCUAGAAAUAGUGGAGUGUCUGGCUUGCCAGACCUUGAAAACAGGUGCUGCACGGCUGUCGUCAGCUCGUGUCGUGAGAUGUUGGGUUAAGUCCCGCAACGAGCGCAACCCCCUUUCUUAGUUGCUAACAGGUUAUGCUGAGAACUCUAAGGAUACUGCCUCCGUAAGGAGGAGGAAGGUGGGGACGACGUCAAGUCAUCAUGGCCCUUACGCCUAGGGCUACACACGUGCUACAAUGGGGUGCACAAAGAGAAGCAAUACUGCGAAGUGGAGCCAAUCUUCAAAACGCCUCUCAGUUCGGAUUGUAGGCUGCAACUCGCCUGCAUGAAGCUGGAAUCGCUAGUAAUCGCAAAUCAGCCAUGUUGCGGUGAAUACGUUCCCGGGUCUUGUACUCACCGCCCGUCACACCAUGGGAGUUGUGUUUGCCUUAAGUCAGGAUGCUAAAUUAGCUACUGCCCACGGCACACACAGCGACUGGGGUGAAGUCGUAACAAGGUAACCGUAGGUGAACCUGCGGUUGGAUCACCUCCUUU